This 497-nucleotide ribosomal RNA is filed under the name uncultured bacterium. RNAcentral's name for it is "partial 16S ribosomal RNA". It matches the Rfam family "Bacterial small subunit ribosomal RNA", at positions 28 to 507 of the family's 1533-position model. The record is from RNAcentral.
GAUGAACGCUGGCGGCGUGCCUAAUACAUGCAGGUCGAGCGAACGGACGAGAAGCUUGCUUCUCUGAUGUUAGCGGCGGACGGGUGAGUAACACGUGGAUAACCUACCUAUAAGACUGGGAUAACUUCGGGAAACCGGAGCUAAUACCGGAUGAUAUUUUGAACCGCAUGGUUCAAAAGUGAAAGACGGUCUUGCUGUCACUUAUAGAUGGAUCCGCGCUGCAUUAGCUAGUUGGUAAGGUAACGGCUUACCAAGGCAACGAUGCAUAGCCGACCUGAGAGGGUGAUCGGCCACACUGGAACUGAGACACGGUCCAGACUCCUACGGGAGGCAGCAGUAGGGAAUCUUCCGCAAUGGGCGAAAGCCUGACGGAGCAACGCCGCGUGAGUGAUGAAGGUCUUCGGAUCGUAAAACUCUGUUAUUAGGGAAGAACAAAUGUGUAAGUAACUGUGCACGUCUUGACGGUACCUAAUCAGAAAGCCACGGCUAACUACGUG